RNAcentral lists this microRNA (21 nucleotides) under Caenorhabditis briggsae. RNAcentral describes it as "cbr-miR-7583c-5p". The record is from miRBase by way of RNAcentral. Lineage: Eukaryota; Metazoa; Nematoda; Chromadorea; Rhabditida; Rhabditidae.
AGCUGCAAAAGUCGUGGUGGC